Molecule: non-coding RNA, 688 nt
Organism: Phascolarctos cinereus (koala)
Lineage: Eukaryota; Metazoa; Chordata; Mammalia; Diprotodontia; Phascolarctidae
Source: RefSeq, a predicted model, not a curated record
AACUGCAGGGGCAAGUGACAUUAACCACAGUAGUAAACCUGGGAAAUGACUUCCAGGGGCCCGCCCACCUUCCAAUGGGCCAAUCAGCUGUCGAGGAUGACAAACUCUCAAAUUCAUGGCUUUUAUAAUAGCUUGGAGGAGGAGACUUAAGAAAUUAUAUGGUCUGCUGCAUCAGAAAAAAAUCAUUUUCACUUUCUAUUCACUGAAGUAAACAUAAGAUUUCUUCUUAGAGAGUGAAGUCAAACAUUGUCGUCCACCUGCUCAGUGGCCCACUAAAUGUAAAUCGGGCCAUGAAGGUUUUCUGAGUGUUUCAUGAAUGAAGAAAUUGAGGCCAGCAAGGUGAAGUGACUUACCCAGGGUCACACAGCUGGAAGUCAUUUCCAUGAUAAUAUCUCAAAGAGGACCGUUUCCAGGAGGGCACUGCACCUUAGCAGGUGAAGAAGGCAGAAGCCACGACCUGGCUACCCGGAAGAUGUGAAUUUGUGAACUGUUCAGACAAGACAAAUCCAAGGUGAACCUGAGCUAUCUCUUUAACAGUCCUGAAGAGGGAACUUCACUUCCUGGAAAAAUGUGACCAGUGAGGGGCUAUUGUUUCGUGUUUAAGCAUUUGCUCGUGCUCCUUUGUGUGUUGCUUCAUUUUAGGCAUUUCUUUUCUUGUGGAGGAAAUAAAUAGCUGUCUUCUAUCUGA